Long non-coding RNA from Cyprinus carpio carpio, 3477 nucleotides. Lineage: Eukaryota; Metazoa; Chordata; Actinopteri; Cypriniformes; Cyprinidae. The record is from Ensembl.
AUGAAUCCAAGUGUUAUUAAUAUAUUCAUUUACAGAUUUUGUAAUACAUCCAGAGAGCUUGCGGUGAGUGUGUGUGUGUGUCUACUUUUAUUGUCCCGUGGGUCAUGUUAUUUAGGUCUCAGGGGGUUUCUUUGCCCCGGAACCAGAGGUCAUGUUAGGAACCCAGACAGUGUGUGUGUGUGUGUGUGUGUGAGCGGCCAGACAGACUGUGCAGUGACCUGAGCCUAUAGACAGACAGAGAGGUCAUUGUCCAGGGUGAUAGGAUCUGUGUGUGUGUUUGUGUGAGAGAGAGAGAGAAAGAGUGUGUGUGUGUGCGAGAGAGAGAGUGUGUGUGUGUGUGUUUAGACCCAGACAUCAUUAUUUUUGUGAGAUCAGGGUCAACAGCUCCACCUCAUCUGAACGUAAACACACACAGAUCAUAAACUCCAUCAAAUACAGCAUAUUUAACAUCACUCAGUUCAGUUCAAUCAGGGAUUUCUGAAUAGCAAAAAAAAUUGUGUGAAAUCAAACUGGCAUUUGAUUUCAUACACGUUUUACAAGUUUGUCUAAGUUUUUAAAUCUGUGUAGCAUUUAAAGUUGAUAAAUAUUUGGUUUUGUAACUAUGUAUGGUAACGAUAUAAUACCAAGGAUAUUUUUUACUGUAAUGGUAACUUACACCCAUGAACCCAAUGUGAGUAAUAGCUUUGGUAAAUAAAAAAUAGUGAGUUUUGAUGACAUGCUGUCUGACAGAUGUGUGUUAAUGUCGGUAGACACACUAGAGCAGACAGAGAGAAACUGUGUGUGUGUGUGUGUGUGUGUGUGUGUUUCGGCACUGAUUGUCAAACUGUGUCUGGGAUCUUCCCAAAUAUGAGACCAAAUUAAUGAGAUUUCAAUUCUGUUUGAUUGAAGGAUCAACUUUGUCUCAGAUGUUCGUUAGAAGACAAAACAGACACAAGUGACUCCAAUAGAGCUAUAAGAUAAAUAUGUGUAGAAGAUUUGUGGCAAAGUCGAGUACAGUUUGACACAUUUUUGAGAUCUAAAACUCUGGAGAAGACGUAAGAUUACCAAACAUUUGAGGAAUUUACUGAAUUUACUGUUUUAAUGUUCUCAGAUUUACACUACCGUUCAAAAGUAGAUUUUUUUUUCCAAAUGUUUUUGAAAAAGUAUAAAAAAUCUGAUAAAAAUUACAAUUUAAAAUAGCUGUUUUCUAAAUGAAUGUAUAUUAAAGUGUAAUUUAUUUCUGUGAUGCGCAGCUGUAUUUUCAGCAUCAUUACUCCAGUCUUCAGUGUCACAUGAUCUUCAGAAAUCAUUCUAAUGAUUCAAGAAACAUUUCUGAUUAUUAUCAAUGUUGAAAACAGUUGUGCUGCACAAUAUUUCUGUGGAAACUGAUGCAUUUUAUAUUUCAAGAUUCACAGAUGACUAGAAAGUUCAAAAGAACAGCAUUUAUUUGAAAUAGAGAUCUUUUGUAACAUUAUAAAUGUCUUUACUGUCACUUUUGAUCAGUUAAAUGUUAAGUGAAUAGAUGCUUUUCUCCCAUGUUUACAGUUCCUAACCUAAUCUUACUUUCACAAAGCGCUGUAUGAUUGUGUUUAACGGUAACUCUGUGAUCUCUGCGGUCUGUUUUUGAGACGACAUUAUCACAGGCUCUUCCAUAUCUGACUGCCGAAGCCACCGACAGAAGUUUAACUCAGAGAAAGAGGUGGAGAAAUGAGAGAAUGACAGAUCAAAAAGGAAAACAUCUAGUGGGAUUUUGCAUGCUUUUCUCAUUUUUCCUCAUUCUCCAGCGCCGGGAUAUUGUGUCUGGCCAACAAAGACGUCGCCCCUCAUUAAAAAUACAUGUCAUCGGAUCACACCUCCACUGAAUCCAGAGAUUGUGAGCUGCAUUAAGAGACUGUGACUGUGCGCUGAAUGGGAACCGCAUCCCCGCUGCGGGCCGGGGUCAGAGGUCACCGCCUGUCUGUUAAAGCCCUGAAAUCUUUUAUUCUGCAUCCACUGCAGAAACCAACUCUCAGCGGAGAGAGAGACAGAAACUCCAGAAAACUACAAGGAAAUUCAGCAUACUCCUGAAUUUACAGCAAUUCCUAAGAUUUAAAGAUUAAAAAUGAACGUUUGUGUUUAUCAGGGUCAGAAAUGAACUUUUCAGUAAGGGCUUUUUCAUUAGUGUGAACUGAUUUACAUUUUAUUUUCCCUUGUAAUGGCAAUUUUUAUGAAUACUUUAUUAAAUCUGUGUUGUUUUCAGGGUUAUUAUGGUCAACUAAAACCUAAAUUAAAAUUAAUACCAUAAAAAAAAAAAAAAAAAACAUUUUCAAUAUUUAAUAUAAAAUAAACAUAAACAUUAUUUCUCAUUUAAUUUAGUUUAACUUUAUGUACUAAAAUAACCAAAACUGGAAUAAAAAUGUAUAAAAACUAUACAGACAUAUAUACAAAAAGUACUAAAAAUGACAAAAGCACAGAACAAAAUGACUAAAAGUUUAACUAAAAUUAAAAUAAAACCAGAAAAUAUAUAUAAAAAAACUGAUUCAGAAUAUAAAUAAAAACUAUAAUAGUAUCUCAAUGAUACAAAAAAUAUAUAUUUACAUCAAUCAAAAUAAUCAAUACUAACAAUACAAUUAUUAUAAUAAUAAAAGUGCAUCUCCUGUUGUCUCUCACAUCACAAUCCAGCCACAUAUUCAAAUAAUCUUACGCAUCCCAAACUUUUAAAUACAGCAUUGUGUAUACUAUUGAGUUACUAUAAAAAUGGAAAAUAAAAAUGUUUAUUUGGAUCUUGUUGCAACAGUGCUUCAGUGUGUAAUGUGUAUUACUUUCACAUGCUCUUCUAAACUGUGGGCAAUACACGGUACAUACUGUAAGUAUGCAGUACACUAGUAUUCAUGUCCUCCCACGACUGAAAUCAGGACCCCUGGGUUUGUCCUCAUAGCUGUCCGACCCACAUGCCUGACGGUAAAAGCAGGUGGCCCAAACGCGCUGGUCAUCUGCUUCCAAAUAUAAUGUAGUGAUGAGAAAGCAGAAACUGACCUUCAUUCAGGCCAACAGCUGCAGCGAAAUCUGUUUGUACCACUUAUUCUGCACACCUUUAAAGUUUAUCAAGACAUCAGGAGCUGAAAUCCAACCGCAGCAGCGAGAGAGAAACAUUCAUGCUUGUUACAUAUUGUUUAUCAAAAAAAUGUAUAUUGGCAUUCAGCAAGCAUGUAAAAUAUAGAUGUAUAUAUUUUUAUAUAGAUGUAACUUUAUAUAUAUUUACAUAUACUUUCAAUUAAAUCCAUUUUUAUUAUGUAUAUGUAUAUAUAUAUAUAUAUAUAUAUAUAUAUUAUAUAUAUAUGUGUGUGUGUGUGUGUGUGUUUAAUAAAUAAAUAAUAAAAAAUCUGUAAUAAAUAUUAAAUGUCUAUGCAUGCAUAUACAUACAUACUGUAUAUGCAUAUAUAUUUUAAAAUAAAAUGUAUUUCAUGAAUUUUAAUAGUAUAAAUAAUAUUUAUAAAAAAUAUGCAUGAAUAUGAAAAC